This 276-nucleotide small RNA is filed under the name Arabidopsis thaliana (thale cress). RNAcentral's name for it is "ATSL145980". Lineage: Eukaryota; Viridiplantae; Streptophyta; Magnoliopsida; Brassicales; Brassicaceae. The record is from RNAcentral.
AUAUAAAUAAAUGCUGUAAGAAUAGAUAGAAGCAAGAAACGUUUUGCCAACUUGAAAGUCCAUUUCUAACCAAAAAAAACGUGACAUCUUUUAGUUGUUUUUACAAAUUACAAUGGAACUAUGGAUUAUAGUGACAUUAUUAAUUUGCUUUGCAGUGUUCCUCGUGGGGAUUGUGUGUUCUUUCCUUUUGUGUUGCGCCGGAGUGUUUUCCAAGGAACAAGACGGAGACUAAUGCGAGAAGGAAACAUCUAUAUGGCAGAAAAAAACUCUUUUAUG